RNAcentral lists this unclassified non-coding RNA (339 nucleotides) under Conocybe anthracophila. RNAcentral's name for it is "partial internal transcribed spacer region". The stretch from base 1 to 46 matches the Rfam family "Eukaryotic small subunit ribosomal RNA", at positions 1786 to 1831 of the family's 1831-position model. The record is from RNAcentral. Lineage: Eukaryota; Fungi; Basidiomycota; Agaricomycetes; Agaricales; Bolbitiaceae.
AAGUCGUAACAAGGUUUCCGUAGGUGAACCUGCGGAAGGAUCAUUACAGAAUAAACUUGGUGGGUUGUUGCUGGCUCUCAAUUGUGCAUGUGCACACCUGUCAUCUUUAUCUUUCCACCAUGUGCACUUUAUGUAGAACUGGAAUGAACAAUACGGCCUAGUCAACGUUUGUUGACUAUGGGAAUGUUGCUGAUUCUUCAGCUCAUUCUGUAUCUGGCUGUUUAUUCCGGGCUCUACGAUAUCUCUAUAUACACCACGUAUGUUAAUGAACGCAAUAAAUGGGCCCAGAAAGCCUAUAAAUCUAUAAUACAACUUUCAGCAACGGAUCUCUUGGCUCUC